Long non-coding RNA from Xenopus laevis (African clawed frog), 834 nucleotides. RefSeq lists it as uncharacterized. The transcript is spliced from 4 exons. The record is from RefSeq and is a predicted model, not a curated record. NCBI's taxonomy places the organism in Eukaryota, Metazoa, Chordata, Amphibia, Anura, Pipidae.
UUUAAAGGGGAGACACACCCAGGGUGUUGUUGAGAGUUGGAUGUCGUGAAGUCUAGAAGUAGACAGUGCUAAGGAAAUACAAGUAAAAGUACUAGGUACUUAAGCUAGCUAGUGAUAGCUAAGUGAGAAUGGGUAGUUGUUACCCCAACAAGGAGCAUUAGAGGCUUAGAAGCCGUGGUUCAGCCACAGUGAGGGACCAAGUGCUUAGGCAGGGUCUAGCGGACAACCCAAGAAGAAGGUCAAGGAAAAGUCCUACCCGGAAAGGUCAGUGAGGCAUUGAAGCGGUGUCGGCCUGGCUGAAGGAGGGAGGUGGCACACAGUAAAAGUCCUGAGUCGGGGCGAGGUGGAGGGUCGCAGGUUGUGUGACGGACUGCCUGACCGACUAGGUGGUGCAAAAGACCUUGGUUGGGUUCGUGGAUCCUGGCAAACUUGGAGGCUUCUUGAAAAUCCUGAAUGUGUCCCUGGUGAUGUCCUGAAGUGCACUGUAUCCCGAGCUCCUAACUGAGGCUGGGUCUAAAAAAGAAAAAGUGAAAGAAGGGGUCCAUCAGAGACCCCCAAGAUCUCAUCACUGGGGCCUGGUCUGUCAAGGAGAAGUAGAGAUACGGAAUGUUGACACAAUUGGCAGCCGCCACGGCAGCGAAGGGAACCCAUCGUGCAAUCAAAGGAGGAGCUUUCUAAAGGGAAACAAUGGAAAAAAUAUGAGAAAUGGAGAAAAUCCAAGGGACGCAGAAACACUUGAACUUACAGACACGAUGAUCUGUUGAUGUGAUUUGAAGCAACAAGGGAAUUCAAAAGGACAGCGAUACAGUAUAUGUUUGCCCAUAUUCAACUAUU